AUACGUAGGGGGCGAGCGUUGUCCGGAAUGACUGGGCGUAAAGGGCGUGUAGGCGGCCGAUUAAGUCUGGAGUGAAAGUCCCGCUUUCAAGGUGGGAAUUGCUUUGGAGACUGGUUGGCUUGAGUGCGGAAGAGGUAAGUGGAAUUCCCAGUGUAGCGGUGAAAUGCGUAGAGAUUGGGAGGAACACCAGUGGCGAAGGCGACUUACUGGGCCGUAACUGACGCUGAGGCGCGAAAGCGUGGGGAGCGAACAGGAUUAGAUACCCUGGUAGUCCACGCUGUAAACGAUGAAUGCUAGGCGUAGGGGGUAUCGACCCCUCCUGUGCCGGAGUAAACGCAAUAAGCAUUCCGCCUGGGGAGUACGGCCGCAAGGUUGAAACUCAAAUGAAUUGACGGGG
RNAcentral lists this ribosomal RNA (397 nucleotides) under uncultured bacterium. Its description in RNAcentral is "partial 16S ribosomal RNA". It matches the Rfam family "Bacterial small subunit ribosomal RNA", at positions 523 to 918 of the family's 1533-position model. The record is from RNAcentral.